AUGAAGAGUUUGAUCCUGGCUCAGGAUGAACGCUAGCUACAGGCUUAACACAUGCAAGUCGAGGGGCAUCAUGGCGGUCGCUUGCGACCGCUGAUGGCGACCGGCGCACGGGUGCGUAACGCGUAUCGAACCUGCCGCAUACCCGGGGAUAGCCUUGCGAAAGCAAGAUUAAUACCCGAUGUUCUCACUGUUCCGCAUGUUACGGUGAGCAAAGAAAUUCGGUAUGCGAUGGCGAUGCGUCCCAUUAGCUAGUUGGCGGGGUAACGGCCCACCAAGGCUCCGAUGGGUAGGGGUUCUGAGAGGAAGGUCCCCCACACUGGAACUGAGACACGGUCCAGACUCCUACGGGAGGCAGCAGUGAGGAAUAUUGGUCAAUGGACGCAAGUCUGAACCAGCCAAGUAGCGUGCAGGAUGACGGCCCUCCGGGUUGUAAACUGCUUUUAGUUGGGAAUAAAAGGGGGCUCGUGAGCCCCGUAUUGUAUGUACCAUCAGAAAAAGGACCGGCUAAUUCCGUGCCAGCAGCCGCGGUAAUACGGAAGGUCCGGGCGUUAUCCGGAUUUAUUGGGUUUAAAGGGAGCGUAGGCCGGCUUUUAAGUCAGCUGUGAAAGUCCGCGGCUCAACCGUGGAAUUGCAGUUGAAACUGGAGGCCUUGAGUGCACACAGGGAUGCCGGAAUUCAUGGUGUAGCGGUGAAAUGCUUAGAUAUCAUGAAGAACUCCGAUCGCGAAGGCAAGUGUCCGGGGUGCAACUGACGCUGAGGCUCGAAAGUGCGGGUAUCAAACAGGAUUAGAUACCCUGGUAGUCCGCACCGUAAACGAUGAAUACUCGUGUCCCGCGAUAUAUUGUGGGACACUUAGCGAAAGCGUUAAGUAUUCCACCUGGGGAGUACGCCGGCAACGGUGAAACUCAAAGGAAUUGACGGGGGCCCGCACAAGCGGAGGAACAUGUGGUUUAAUUCGAUGAUACGCGAGGAACCUUACCCGGGCUUGAAAUGUGCAGGACUCAGGCAGAGACGCCUGUUUCUUCGGACCUGCAUGUAGGUGCUGCAUGGUUGUCGUCAGCUCGUGCCGUGAGGUGUCGGCUUAAGUGCCAUAACGAGCGCAACCCUUCUCCCCGUUUGCCAUCAGUUAAUGCUGGGCACUCCGGGGAUACUGCCAUCGUAAGAUGUGAGGAAGGUGGGGAUGACGUCAAAUCAGCACGGCCCUUACGUCCGGGGCUACACACGUGUUACAAUGGGGGGUACAGAGGGCCGCUAUCCCGCGAGGGUGCGCCAAUCCUCAAAACCUCUCUCAGUUCGGACUGGAGUCUGCAACCCGACUCCACGAAGCUGGAUUCGCUAGUAAUCGCGCAUCAGCCAUGGCGCGGUGAAUACGUUCCCGGGCCUUGUACACACCGCCCGUCAAGCCAUGAAAGCCGGGGGUGCCUGAAGGCCGUAGCCGCGAGGGUCGGCCUAAGGCAAUACCGGUGAUUGGGGCUAAGUCGUAACAAGGUAGCCGUACCGGAAGGUGCGGCUGGAACACCUCCUUU
This 1526-nucleotide ribosomal RNA is filed under the name Bacteroidaceae bacterium. RNAcentral's name for it is "bacterial SSU rRNA". It matches the Rfam family "Bacterial small subunit ribosomal RNA". Lineage: Bacteria; Pseudomonadati; Bacteroidota; Bacteroidia; Bacteroidales; Bacteroidaceae. The record is from RNAcentral.